ACUCUAAACCCCUCACUCUAAACCCUCACUGUAACCCCUCACUGUAACCCCUCACUGUAACCCUCACUGUAACCCCUCACUGUAACCCCUCACUGUACAUCAUUCCAAUCCCCAUCUCUGAUAACGAUGGCUCAAAUGAUCAGAUUUGAUAACCCAGUUCAAAGUGCACUGAAAUUAUUUUUUUAUUCCAACCAGCUCCAGUAGGAUGUAGUUUAAUUCCAACCAGCUCCAGUAGGAUGUAGUUUUAUUCCAACCAGCUCCAGUAGGUUGUAGUUUUAUUCCAACCAGCUCCAGUAGGUUGUAGUUUUAUUCCAACCAGCUCCAGUAGGUUGUAGUUUAAUUCCAACCAGCUCCAGUAGGAUGUAGUUUAAUUCCAACCAGUUCCAGUAGGUUGUAGUUUAAUUCCAACCAACUCCAGUAGGUUGUAGUUUAAUUCCAACCAGUUCCAGUAGGUUGUAGUUUAAUUCCAACCAUCUCCAGUAGGUUGUAGUUUUAUUUUACCUGCAAUAUUUUCCUAUCUGUUAUUGUAUAACAUUUACAGUCAUUCUAAUUGAUAUUUUAAGCAGAUCAAAUGAUGUUGGUAAUAAUGAGCCACUAUCCUUGUGGAAGUCAUAGACUUCAAAUGAAAUUGAAUACAGGCCCGCUCCUAAAAACACCAGGUUUGAAUCAUGUAUUGUAAAUGGUGCAUAUCAAAUGUUUACAAUAGUGUAUUCCUCUUCAUUGUUUUAUUUCAUACAUGCUGGCUUUAAGACACUGUUCCCUCACUAUAUGGUCAGAUGAACCAGACACAACACAUGCCACUGUCCCAAGUAUGUACUACAGCCACCAUUACUACCCUCAAUGAGGUGACUUGUAUACAUGCAAUGGUUUUUGUUCUGGACUUUGGUGUCUUUCGCCUAGACCGCGGAUCUGUUGAAUCUGCGCUACAAUCUUGUCCUGCGGUCAUAUUCCUCCAAACGUAAACACAAUAGACACUAUGUACCUGUGUAUGAUUCAACAUGUCCCGAUAUUUGUAUUUUAUUUUCAAAUUAAAAUCAUUAUAUUAUUAUCUGUUUCUUCUAAGAGUCAGUUGGAUUGGAAGGGAAUAUCAGUGAUGGAGGUAACCAAUAUGUGUAUUGUGUAAAAAUAGUGUAUGACCAUCAAUGUACUUGUCAUUCUACAUGUAACGUUACAACAACCUGCCUGCAUACACUAAGGAGACAUAUCUGUAUAUAUUAAUCAAUACUAUUUUUACUGCAUUUUUGUACAAAUAUUCAUGGUAGCCAUGUACAAGUAGUUCAAAUGAUUCUAUGGUAGUAUUAAAAUAGUUUGGUUUUAA
Oncorhynchus tshawytscha (Chinook salmon) is the source of this 1318-nucleotide long non-coding RNA. Lineage: Eukaryota; Metazoa; Chordata; Actinopteri; Salmoniformes; Salmonidae. The record is from Ensembl.